Molecule: ribosomal RNA, 577 nt
Filed under: Asterionellopsis glacialis
Lineage: Eukaryota; Bacillariophyta; Plagiogrammaphyceae; Rhaphoneidales; Asterionellopsidaceae
Description: partial Bacterial large subunit ribosomal RNA
Source: RNAcentral
ACGUUCUGAACCCAGCUCGCGUGCCACUUUAAUGGGCGAACAGCCCAACCCUUGGGACGUACUACCGCCCCAGGAUGCGAUGAGCCGACAUCGAGGUGCCAAACGAUGCCGUCGAUAUGGACUCUUGGGCAUCAUCAGCCUGUUAUCCCCGGAGUACCUUUUAUCCUUUGAGCGACGGCCCUUCCAUGCGGAACCGCCGGAUCACUAUGCUCUACUUUCGUACCUGGUCGACUUGUAUGUCUCUCAGUCAAGCACCCUUAUGCCAUUAUACUCUACGAACGAUUACCAACCGUUCUGAGGGUACCUUUAGAAGCCUCCGAUACUCUUUUGGAGGCGACCACCCCAGUCAAACUACCCACCACACACUGUCCUCCUUUGCAGGAGUUAGUUACCAAUUAAAAGAAGGGUGGUAUUUCAAGGAUGGCUCCAUCAUGCCUGGCGACACAACUUCGCAGCCUCCCACCUAUCCUACACAUCUUUUAAACAAUAACAAUGUGAAGCUAUAGUAAAGGUUCACGGGGUCUUUUCGUCCCACAGCGGGUAACGGGCAUCUUCACCGAUACUACAAUUUCACCGA